Molecule: transfer RNA, 72 nt
Filed under: Zingiber officinale
Lineage: Eukaryota; Viridiplantae; Streptophyta; Magnoliopsida; Zingiberales; Zingiberaceae
Rfam family: tRNA
About the family: Transfer RNA (tRNA) molecules are approximately 80 nucleotides in length.
Source: Rfam by way of RNAcentral
GGGGGUCUAGCUCAUAUGGUAGAGCGCUCGCUUCGCAUGCGAGAGGUACGGGUUCGAUUCCCUUGACCUCCA